AUACGGAAGGUCCAGGCGUUAUCCGGAUUUAUUGGGUUUAAAGGGAGCGCAGGCUGAUGAUUAAGCGUGACGUGAAAUGUAGCCGCUCAACGGCUGAACUGCGUCGCGAACUGGUUAUCUUGAGUGAGUUCGAUGUUGGCGGAAUUCGUGGUGUAGCGGUGAAAUGCUUAGAUAUCACGAAGAACUCCGAUUGCGAAGGCAGCCAACAAGGCCUUUACUGACGCUAAAGCUCGAAGGUGCGGGUAUCGAACAGGAUUAGAUACCCUGGUAGUCCGCACGGUAAACGAUGGAUGCCCGCUGUUUGCGAUAUACUGUGAGCGGCCAAGAGAAAUCGUUAAGCAUCCCACCUGGGGAGUACGCCGGCGACGGUGAAACUCAAAUGAAUUGACGGGG
This 393-nucleotide ribosomal RNA is filed under the name uncultured bacterium. Its description in RNAcentral is "partial 16S ribosomal RNA". It matches the Rfam family "Bacterial small subunit ribosomal RNA", at positions 523 to 918 of the family's 1533-position model. The record is from RNAcentral.